UACAAACUGCAGCUGUCUGUCUUCAGAUGGACUGUUACUGCCCCGACCCAACACAUGCAGUGCAGACCUUCAGACCGUACACACACUUCCGCCAGUGAUGCUGUGUUGUAGAGAGAGGAAGAGAAGACAGAAAAGAGAGAAAGGAGAUAGGUGGUGGUGGUAGUAGUAGUAGUAGUAGUAGUAGUAGUAGUAGUAGUAGUAGUAGUAGUAGUAGUAGUAGUCAUUGUGUGGGCCCCUCUCUCUCUCUCUCUCUCUCUCUCUCUCUCUCUCUCUCUCAGCCCCACAGUAUGCUUACAAACCCACAGUCACCCCCCACAGCCAACCCCCACCCCUUUAUAUGUGUGUGUGUGUACUCUUCAAUAAAGGUAUAUGGUAA
This is a long non-coding RNA of Scylla paramamosain (green mud crab), 376 nucleotides long. RefSeq lists it as uncharacterized. NCBI's taxonomy places the organism in Eukaryota, Metazoa, Arthropoda, Malacostraca, Decapoda, Portunidae. The record is from RefSeq and is a predicted model, not a curated record. The transcript has 2 exons.